RNAcentral lists this ribosomal RNA (191 nucleotides) under uncultured Bacillus sp. Its description in RNAcentral is "partial 16S ribosomal RNA". It matches the Rfam family "Bacterial small subunit ribosomal RNA", at positions 338 to 521 of the family's 1533-position model. Lineage: Bacteria; Bacillati; Bacillota; Bacilli; Caryophanales; Bacillaceae. The record is from RNAcentral.
CCUACGGGAGGCAGCAGUAGGGAAUCUUCCGCAAUGGACGAAAGUCUGACGGAGCAACGCCGCGUGAGUGAUGAAGGUUUUCGGAUCGUAAAGCUCUGUUGUUAGGGAAGAACAAGUACCGUUCGAACAGGGCGGUACCUUGACGGUACCUAACCAGAAAGCCACGCUAACUACGUGCCAGCAGCCGCGGU